AAUCAACGCUGGCGGCGUGCCUCAGACAUGCAAGUCGAACGAUUAAGACUCUCUUCGGAGAGUGUAUAAAGUGGCGCACGGGUGAGUAACACGUAGGUAAUGUACCGAAGGGUGGGGAAUAACUUAGGGAAACUUAAGCUAAUACCGCGUAAUGCAGCGGCUCGACAUCGAGACAGUUGUUAAAGGAGCAAUCCGCCUUUUGAGCAGCCUGCGGCAGAUUAGCUAGUUGGUAAGGUAAUGGCUUACCAAGGCUACGAUCUGUAACCGACCUGAGAGGGUGGUCGGUCACACUGACACUGAAUAACGGGUCAGACUCCUACGGGAGGCAGCAGUCGGGAAUUUUGGGCAAUGGGCGAAAGCCUGACCCAGCAACGCCGCGUGAAGGAUGAAGUAUUUCGGUAUGUAAACUUCGUAAGAAUAGGAAGAAUAAAUGACGGUACUAUUUGUAAGGUCCGGCUAACUACGUGCCAGCAGCCGCGGUAAU
This 484-nucleotide ribosomal RNA is filed under the name uncultured bacterium. Its description in RNAcentral is "bacterial SSU rRNA". It matches the Rfam family "Bacterial small subunit ribosomal RNA", at positions 32 to 524 of the family's 1533-position model. The record is from RNAcentral.